UACAGGGGGGGCAAGCGUUGUUCGGAAUUACUGGGCGUAAAGGGCUCGUAGGCGGCCAACUAAGUCACACGUGAAAUCCCCAGGCUUAACCUGGGAACUGCGUGUGAUACUGGAUGGCUUGAAUUCGGGAGAGGGAUGCAGAAUUCCAGGUGUAGCGGUGAAAUGCGUAGAUAUCGGGAGGAACACCAGUGGCGAAGGCGGCUUCCUGGACCGGUAUUGACGCUGAGGCGCGAAAGCCAGGGGAGCAAACGGG
Molecule: ribosomal RNA, 253 nt
Filed under: uncultured bacterium
Lineage: Bacteria
Description: partial 16S ribosomal RNA
Rfam family: Bacterial small subunit ribosomal RNA
Source: RNAcentral